Molecule: long non-coding RNA, 431 nt
Filed under: Rattus norvegicus (Norway rat)
Lineage: Eukaryota; Metazoa; Chordata; Mammalia; Rodentia; Muridae
Description: long non-coding RNA NONRATT023956
Source: RNAcentral
GCCUCCAUGGAGGUACCUGCCAGGACCAGGAUUCUGGCAAGGGUUUCACCUGCAGCUGUACUGCAGGCAGGGGUGGCUCUGUCUGUGAGAAAGGUGAGGUCACCCAUUGCUAGAGGGUUUGGGGUUAUGGCCAGAGGGUAUAGCAGGGUCGUAGGUUUAACUCUGUCUGUCUUCUGCAGUACAACCCCCCUCCAUGCCAGCUUUUAAGGGCCACUCCUUCUUGGCCUUCCCCACCCUCCGAGCCUACCACACACUGCGCCUAGCACUGGAAUUCCGGGCUUUGGAGACAGAGGGACUGCUACUCUACAAUGGCAAUGCACGUGGCAAAGAUUUCCUGGCUCUGGCUCUGUUGGAUGGGCGUGUGCAGUUCAGGUUUGACACAGGCUCAGGGCCAGCAGUGCUAACGAGCUUAGUGCCAGUGGAACCAGGAC